UACAGAGGGUGCAAGCGUUGUUCGGAAUUACUGGGCGUAAAGGGCUCGUAGGCGGCCAACUAAGUCAGACGUGAAAUCCCUCGGCUUAACCGGGGAACUGCGUCUGAUACUGGAUGGCUUGAGUUUGGGAGAGGGAUGCGGAAUUCCAGGUGUAGCGGUGAAAUGCGUAGAUAUCAGGAGGAACACCGGUGGCGAAGGCGCACAUCUGGCCCGAUACUGACGCUGAGGCGCGAAAGCUAGGGGAGCAAACGGG
RNAcentral lists this ribosomal RNA (253 nucleotides) under uncultured bacterium. Its description in RNAcentral is "partial 16S ribosomal RNA". It matches the Rfam family "Bacterial small subunit ribosomal RNA", at positions 524 to 776 of the family's 1533-position model. The record is from RNAcentral.